RNAcentral lists this ribosomal RNA (606 nucleotides) under uncultured bacterium. RNAcentral's name for it is "bacterial SSU rRNA". It matches the Rfam family "Bacterial small subunit ribosomal RNA", at positions 338 to 946 of the family's 1533-position model. The record is from RNAcentral.
CCUACGGGAGGCAGCAGUAAGGAAUAUUGGUCAAUGGACGAAAGUCUGAACCAGCCAUGCCGCGUGAAGGAUGACGGCCCUCUGGGUUGUAAACUUCUUUUAUCUGGGACGAAAAAAGGGAAUUCUUUCUCACUUGACGGUACCAGAGGAAUAAGCACCGGCUAACUCCGUGCCAGCAGCCGCGGUAAUACGGAGGGUGCAAGCGUUAUCCGGAUUCACUGGGUUUAAAGGGAGCGUAGGUGGGCAGGUAAGUCAGUGGUGAAAUCUCCGGGCUUAACCCGGAAACUGCCAUUGAUACUAUUUGUCUUGAAUUAUCUGGAGGUAAGCGGAAUAUGUCAUGUAGCGGUGAAAUGCUUAGAUAUGACAUAGAACACCCAUUGCGAAGGCAGCUUACUACGGAUAUAUUGACACUGAGGCUCGAAAGCGUGGGGAUCAAACAGGAUUAGAUACCCUGGUAGUCCACGCCCUAAACGAUGGAUACUCGACAUCAGCGAUACACUGUUGGUGUCUGAGCGAAAGCAUUAAGUAUCCACCUGGAAGUACGACCGCAAGGUUGAACUCAAGGAAUUGACGGCUGAGACCGNGCGAGACGACGACGAGGAGAGG